UACGGGGGGGGCAAGCGUUGUUCGGAAUUACUGGGCGUAAAGGGCGCGUAGGCGGUUUGCUAAGUUGGAUGUGAAAACUCUGGGCUUAACCCAGAGCCUGCAUCCAAAACUGGCAAACUUGAGUACUGGAGGGGAAAGCGGAAUUCCUGGUGUAGCGGUGAAAUGCGUAGAUAUCAGGAGGAACACCGGUGGCGAAGGCGGCCUUCUGGACAGUAACUGACGCUGAGGCGCGAAAGCUAGGGGAGCAAACAGG
This 253-nucleotide ribosomal RNA is filed under the name uncultured bacterium. RNAcentral's name for it is "partial 16S ribosomal RNA". It matches the Rfam family "Bacterial small subunit ribosomal RNA", at positions 524 to 776 of the family's 1533-position model. The record is from RNAcentral.